This 301-nucleotide ribosomal RNA is filed under the name uncultured bacterium. RNAcentral's name for it is "partial 16S ribosomal RNA". It matches the Rfam family "Bacterial small subunit ribosomal RNA", at positions 509 to 809 of the family's 1533-position model. The record is from RNAcentral.
CAGCCGCCGCGGUAAUACGAAGGGGGCUAGCGUUGUUCGGAUUUACUGGGCGUAAAGGGCGCGUAGGCGGGCGAAUCAGUCAGGGGUGAAAUCCCAAGGCUCAACCUUGGAACUGCCUUUGAUACUGUUUGUCUUGAGUUCGAGAGAGGUAAGUGGGACUGCGAGUGUAGAGGUGAAAUUCGUAGAUAUUCGCAAGAACACCAGUGGCGAAGGCGGCUUACUGGCUCGAAACUGACGCUGAGGCGCGAAAGCGUGGGGAGCAAACAGGAUUAGAUACCCCCGUAGUCCCUGUCUCUUAUAA